RNAcentral lists this long non-coding RNA (303 nucleotides) under Panax ginseng (ginseng). RNAcentral describes it as "long non-coding RNA (PGIN_LNC007900)". Lineage: Eukaryota; Viridiplantae; Streptophyta; Magnoliopsida; Apiales; Araliaceae. The record is from RNAcentral.
AGCAUAUUACUCAAUUUAUUCAGGAGAAGGCCAACCAGAUAAAACUCAUUUGAAAAUUGGACUAGCUAAUGUACACAAGUCAGACCAGAAAUUAAAAAAUUGCACUGUCAAAAAGUUGAAUCUCUGAAGCUCCCCAGCUGAUUCACUAGUCUCCCUUCAGACGCUUUUGGAAGAGUGCAAAAGCAAAAGAUGUUACCAUCCCAACCAAAUACCCAGCCAUAGCUCCAUAACUUACACAAAUUGGCCAUUCCUACAAGUAAAUUUGCCCAGCAUCCACAGAUUAAGAGAAAGCAACAAGCCAGG